GACGAACGCUGGCGGCGUGCUUAACACAUGCAAGUCGAACGGAAAGGCCUCUUUCGGGGGGUACUCGAGUGGCGAACGGGUGAGUAGCACGUGUGUAACCUGCCCUUGACUUUGGGAUAACUUCAGGAAACUGGGGCUAAUACCGGAUAGGAGCUCCUGCUGCAUGGUGGGGGUUGGAAAGUUUCGGCGGUUGGGGAUGGACUCGCGGCUUAUCAGCUUGUUGGUGGGGUAGUGGCUUACCAAGGCUUUGACGGGUAGCCGGCCUGAGAGGGUGACCCGCAACAUUGGGACUGAGGUACGGCCCAGACUCCUACGGGGGGCAACAGUGGGGAAUAAUGCACAAUGGGUGGAAGCCUGAUGCAACAACGCCGUGUGCGGGAUGACGGCCUUCGGGUUGUAAACCGCUUUCGGUCAUGACGAAACUUUGUGUGACGGUAGUGGGUAAAGAAGCACCGGCUAACUACGUG
Molecule: ribosomal RNA, 467 nt
Filed under: uncultured bacterium
Lineage: Bacteria
Description: partial 16S ribosomal RNA
Rfam family: Bacterial small subunit ribosomal RNA
Source: RNAcentral